GCUCACUCCGAGCUCCCGACGUGCACACGGCUCCCAUGCGUUGUCUUCCGAGCGUCAGGCCGCCCCUACCCGUGCUUUCUGCUCUGCAGACCCUCUUCCUAGACCUCCGUCCUUUGUCCCAUCGCUGCCUUCCCCUCAAGCUCAGGGCCAAGCUGUCCGCCAACCUCGGCUCCUCCGGGCAGCCCUCGCCCGGGGUGCGCCCCGGGGCAGGACCCCCAGCCCACGCCCAGGGCCCGCCCCUGCCCUCCAGCCCUACGCCUUGACCCGCUUUCCUGCGUCUCUCAGCCUACCUGACCUUGUCUUUACCUCUGUGGGCAGCUCCCUUGUGAUCUGCUUAGUUCCCACCCCCCUUUAAGAAUUCAAUAGAGAAGCCAGACGCAAAACUACAGAUAUCGUAUGAGUCCAGUUUUGUGAAGUGCCUAGAAUAGUCAAAAUUCACAGAGACAGAAGCAGUGGUCGCCAGGAAUGGGGAAGCAAGGCGGAGUUGGGCAGCUCGUGUUCAAUGGUUUUGUCCGCCUUCCCUGCCUCCUCUUCUGGGGGAGUUAGAUCGAGUUGUAACAAGAACAUGCCACUGUCUCGCUGGCUGCAGCGUGUGGUCCCCUUACCAGAGUGAGGAUGCGAAGAGAAGGUGGCUGUCUGCAAACCAGGAAGAGAGCCCUCACCGGGAACCCGUCCAGCUGCCACCUUGAACUUGGACUUCCAAGCCUCCAGAACUGUGAGGGAUAAAUGUAUGAUUUUAAAGUCGCCCAGUGUGUGGUAUUUUGUUUUGACUAAUACAACCUGAA
RNAcentral lists this long non-coding RNA (785 nucleotides) under Homo sapiens (human). RNAcentral's name for it is "HSALNT0395466". Lineage: Eukaryota; Metazoa; Chordata; Mammalia; Primates; Hominidae. The record is from RNAcentral.